This 253-nucleotide ribosomal RNA is filed under the name uncultured bacterium. RNAcentral describes it as "partial 16S ribosomal RNA". It matches the Rfam family "Bacterial small subunit ribosomal RNA", at positions 524 to 776 of the family's 1533-position model. The record is from RNAcentral.
UACGGGGGGGGCAAGCGUUGUUCGGAAUUACUGGGCGUAAAGGGUUUGUAGGUGGCUUAUUAAGUCAGACGUGAAAUCCCUCAGCUUAACUGGGGAACUGCGUCUGAGACUGGUGAGCUUGAGUGCAGGAGAGGAACGCGGAAUUCCAGGUGUAGCGGUGAAAUGCGUAGAUAUCUGGAGGAACACCGGUGGCGAAGGCGGCGUUCUGGACUGCAACUGACACUGAUGAACGAAAGCGUGGGGAGCAAACAGG